This is a long non-coding RNA of Photinus pyralis (common eastern firefly), 1025 nucleotides long. RefSeq lists it as uncharacterized. The transcript has 2 exons. NCBI's taxonomy places the organism in Eukaryota, Metazoa, Arthropoda, Insecta, Coleoptera, Lampyridae. The record is from RefSeq and is a predicted model, not a curated record.
UGUUAAGACCUACAGUAACCAUUGGCCUGAACUGAACGCGCAAAGGGCCCAUUACAUCACAAGUGGGACGUAAAACUUUGGGAACCUUCAAUGGUGUUGACUACACCCCGCUUACGAUACUCAUUGUGCAAAAGACGACAUCGGGUCAACAAAGAUAAGGUUAUUUAUAAACAGUGAAAAGCACAGUAAGUGUAUACAAAAUGUUCAAAAUUAGAUGUUUUUGCAGACAAAUUGAACACAAAGUUCAUCAUCAUUUUGACAUCUGGACACACUAUCAUGGACCAACAAAUAUAAUUUGUUUUUUGCAACUGAUAAAACUAUGCAAGUGGAAAAAUGUUGAUGUCGUGUUGUUCUUGCACGACAUAAACGAUAAUGUCGUCGCUUAAUUACCCCAAAAAAUUAUCAUGUCGAGGUUGUGAAUUGUGAUCUGUAUCAAUCAGGACCAAAACUGGAUAAAAUUGAUACAAUGGGCCGUAUGAAUAAAAGUAAGCAAAUGCUUAUACUUGCAAAAUUCAAAGUAAAUACUCGUAAGUGCUCCUUCGCACUGGGCGACUUAGCAGCGCUUUUAAAGCAGAAGGACAGGACGCAGUGCAGCGCUGCUAAACCAUGCUAAACAGACCAGUAUGAAGGGACAGUUACGAGUAUUUACUUUGAAUUUUGCAAGUAUAAGCAUUUGCUUACUUUUAUUCAUACGGUCCAAUGUGUUUGGACGGGGUUCAGAAAACAAGAUUUUGACACCUCUUAGUCAAAACGUGUGGUCAUUUGGUACCAAAAUUGACGAUGCACAAAGAAAGAUUCUCAACUACCUACAUCAAGUUUUAGCGCAUUCAUUAAAUUUUCGGAAGAUAAUCAGGAAUAUAUUAGCCGAGACUUAAAAACCUCGAAGACGCUAUAGAAACAGAGUCAACUGUCAAACUUAAUUAAUAUUUCUAAUUAGUCACUAAUUAAUAUAACGACAUUAUUAUGCUCAAAAAUUCAAUUGUUGCGAAUAUCACAUAAUUAAAACUGAAUUAUUUGAUUUGUAA